GCAGGGCUGUGACUCACACCUGUAAUCCCAACACUUUGGGAGGCGAAGGCAAGAGGAUCGCUCAAGCCCAGGAGUUCUAGGCAACAGUGUACCAUGCUGAUCAGGUAUCUACACUAGGUUUGGCAUCAAUAUGGUAACCUCCCUGGUGCAGGGGACCACUAGGUUGCCUAAGUAACUGAGCAGGUCAAAACUCUCAUGCUGAUCAGUAGUGGGAUCAUGCCUGUGAAUAGCCACUGCACUUCAGCCUGGGCAACAUAGUGAGACCCCAUCUCA
RNAcentral lists this signal recognition particle RNA (273 nucleotides) under Aotus nancymaae (Ma's night monkey). Its description in RNAcentral is "Metazoan signal recognition particle RNA (ENSANAG00000011087.1)". It matches the Rfam family "Metazoan signal recognition particle RNA". From Rfam's summary of the family: The signal recognition particle (SRP) is a universally conserved ribonucleoprotein. It is involved in the co-translational targeting of proteins to membranes. Lineage: Eukaryota; Metazoa; Chordata; Mammalia; Primates; Aotidae. The record is from RNAcentral.